Molecule: ribosomal RNA, 465 nt
Filed under: uncultured bacterium
Lineage: Bacteria
Description: partial 16S ribosomal RNA
Rfam family: Bacterial small subunit ribosomal RNA
Source: RNAcentral
CCUACGGGAUGCAGCAGUGGGGAAUAUUGCGCAAUGGGCGAAAGCCUGACGCAGCGACGCCGCGUGAGGGAUGAAGGUCUUCGGAUCGUAACCCUCUGUCAGCAGUGAAGAACGGUCACUGUGCUAAUCAGCAGUGAAUUGACGGUACCUGCAAAGGAAGCACCGGCUAACUCCGUGCCAGCAGCCGCUGUAAUACGGAGGGUGCGACCGUUAAUCGGAAUUACUGGGCGUAAAGCGCUCGUAGGCGGUAUGUCAAGUCAAGGGUGAAAUCCCCGCGCUCAACGUGGGAACUGCAUUUGAAACUGGCAAACUGGAGUGUGGGAGAGGAUAGUGGAAUUCCAGGUGUAGGGGUGAAAGCCGUAGAGAUCUGGAGGAACAUCAGUGGCGAAGGCGACUAUCUGGCACAUAACUGACGCUGAGGAGCGAAAGCGUGGGUAGCAAACAGGAUUAGAUACCCCUGUAGUC